GACGAACGCUGGCGGCGUGCUUAACACAUGCAAGUCGAACGGAAAGGCCCUGCUUUUGUGGGGUGCUCGAGUGGCGAACGGGUGAGUAACACGUGAGUAACCUGCCCUUGACUUUGGGAUAACUUCAGGAAACUGGGGCUAAUACCGGAUAGGAGCUCCUGCUGCAUGGUGGGGGUUGGAAAGUUUCGGCGGUUGGGGAUGGACUCGCGGCUUAUCAGCUUGUUGGUGGGGUAGUGGCUUACCAAGGCUUUGACGGGUAGCCGGCCUGAGAGGGUGACCGGCCACAUUGGGACUGAGAUACGGCCCAGACUCCUACGGGAGGCAGCAGUGGGGAAUAUUGCACAAUGGGCGGAAGCCUGAUGCGGCAACGCCGCGUGCGGGAUGACGGCCUUCGGGUUGUAAACCGCUGUCGCCUGUUACGAAGCGUGAGUGACGGUAAUGGGUAAAGAAGCACCGGCUAACUACGUG
This 468-nucleotide ribosomal RNA is filed under the name uncultured bacterium. RNAcentral describes it as "partial 16S ribosomal RNA". It matches the Rfam family "Bacterial small subunit ribosomal RNA", at positions 28 to 507 of the family's 1533-position model. The record is from RNAcentral.